Molecule: ribosomal RNA, 471 nt
Filed under: uncultured bacterium
Lineage: Bacteria
Description: bacterial SSU rRNA
Rfam family: Bacterial small subunit ribosomal RNA
Source: RNAcentral
AACGAACGCUGGCGGCAUGCCUAACACAUGCAAGUCGAACGAUGCUUUCGGGCAUAGUGGCGCACGGGUGCGUAACGCGUGGGAAUCUGCCCUUGGGUUCGGGAUAACUGUUGGAAACGACAGCUAAUACCGGAUGAUAUCGCGAGAUCAAAGAUUUAUCGCCUGAGGAUGAGCCCGCGUCGGAUUAGCUAGUUGGUGGGGUAAAGGCCUACCAAGGCGACGAUCCGUAGCUGGUCUGAGAGGAUGAUCAGCCACACUGGGACUGAGACACGGCCCAGACUCCUACGGGAGGCAGCAGUGGGGAAUAUUGGACAAUGGGCGCAAGCCUGAUCCAGCAAUGCCGCGUGAGUGAUGAAGGCCUUAGGGUUGUAAAGCUCUUUUACCCGGGAUGAUAAUGACAGUACCGGGAGAAUAAGCCCCGGCUAACUCCGUGCCAGCAGCCGCGGUAAUACGGAGGGGGCUAGCGUUGUU